Molecule: non-coding RNA, 73 nt
Organism: Amphiprion ocellaris (clown anemonefish)
Lineage: Eukaryota; Metazoa; Chordata; Actinopteri; Pomacentridae
Source: the annotation of a RefSeq genome assembly
GGUAGUGUGGCCAAGUGGUCUAAGGCGCUGAAUUAAGGCUUCAGGGGUGUGGGUUCAAAUCCCACCGUUGCCA